This 450-nucleotide ribosomal RNA is filed under the name uncultured marine bacterium 106. RNAcentral describes it as "bacterial SSU rRNA". It matches the Rfam family "Bacterial small subunit ribosomal RNA", at positions 1077 to 1532 of the family's 1533-position model. The record is from RNAcentral.
UGGGUUAGUCCGCACGAGCGCACCCUGCCCUUAUUGCCAUCGGGUCAGCCGGGCACUUUAGGGGGACUGCCGGUGACAAGCCGGAGGAAGGUGGGGAUGACGUCAAGUCCUCAUGGCCUUUAUGACCAGGGCUACACACGUGUUACAAUGGGAGCUACAGAGGGAUGCUAAGCCGCGAGGCCAUGCUAAUCCCAGAAAAGCUCUCUCAGUUCGGAUCGCAGUCUGCAACUCGACUGCGUGAAGCUGGAAUCGCUAGUAAUCGCGGAUCAGCACGCCACGGUGAAUACGUUCCCGGGCCUUGUACACACCGCCCGUCACACCAUGGGAGUGGGUUGCUCCAGAAGUAGAUAGUCUAACCCUCGGGAGGACGUUUACCACGGAGUGAUUCAUGACUGGGGUGAAGUCGUAACAAGGUAGCCCUAGGGGAACCUGGGGCUGGAUCACCUCCUU